UGGUGGAGUGAUUUGUCUGGUUAAUUCCGUUAACGAACGAGACCUUGACCUGCUAACUAGUCACGAUAAGUGUUGGUUCUCCGCAAGGGGAAUCUUGCUUGUCGGUCGAUCUUCUUAGAGGGACAAUCUGUGUUUCCAGCAGAUGGAAGUGCGAGGCAAUAACA
RNAcentral lists this ribosomal RNA (164 nucleotides) under uncultured eukaryote. Its description in RNAcentral is "partial 18S ribosomal RNA". It matches the Rfam family "Eukaryotic small subunit ribosomal RNA", at positions 1299 to 1458 of the family's 1831-position model. The record is from RNAcentral.